Molecule: long non-coding RNA, 442 nt
Organism: Oncorhynchus tshawytscha (Chinook salmon)
Lineage: Eukaryota; Metazoa; Chordata; Actinopteri; Salmoniformes; Salmonidae
Source: Ensembl
CAGGCUGAGAUGAUAGAACAGGAGUUAUAUUAUAUAGUAGAUAUGUACCUGCAGCACCGCCAGGCUGAGAUGAUAGAGCAGGAGUUAUAUUAUACAGUAGAUAUGUACCUAUUGUACCUGCAGCACCCCCAGGCUGAGAUGAUUGAGCAGGAGCUAUAUUAUAUAGUAGAUAUGUAGCACCACCAGGCUGAGAUGAUAGAGCAGGAGUUAUAUUAUAUAGUAGAUAUGUAGCACCACCAGGCUGAGAUGAUAGAGCAGGAGUUAUAUUAUAUAGUAGAUAUGUACCUGCAGCACCGACAGGCUGAGAUGAUUGAGCAGGACCUAUAUUAUAUAGUAGAUAUGUAGCACCGCCAGGCUGAGAUGAUAGAUCAGGAGUGAGUUAUAUAGUAGAUGUAAUACACUGAUACACUUAAGCAAUAAGGCACAAGGGAGUGUGGUAUAU